AUACUUACCUGGCGAGUGUAAUUCUGUGAUCAAGAAGGCGGAAUACAUGGUUUGAUUGUUUCACAUUGCACGAAGUGAAGUGAUCAGACUGCGAACAUCCUUUAAAGGAUGUCUCGGUCGCAUAAUUUUUGGUAGUGGGGAUUACAGGCGUUCGCGCCAGUUUUCCCUU
RNAcentral lists this small nuclear RNA (169 nucleotides) under Neocallimastix californiae. RNAcentral's name for it is "U1 spliceosomal RNA". It matches the Rfam family "U1 spliceosomal RNA". From Rfam's summary of the family: U1 is a small nuclear RNA (snRNA) component of the spliceosome (involved in pre-mRNA splicing). The record is from Rfam by way of RNAcentral. Lineage: Eukaryota; Fungi; Neocallimastigomycota; Neocallimastigomycetes; Neocallimastigales; Neocallimastigaceae.